This is a long non-coding RNA of Carassius carassius (crucian carp), 1305 nucleotides long. RefSeq lists it as uncharacterized. The record is from RefSeq and is a predicted model, not a curated record. Lineage: Eukaryota; Metazoa; Chordata; Actinopteri; Cypriniformes; Cyprinidae. The transcript has 3 exons.
AGCUCGAGCUCGAGGCCGUGGGAAAGCAGAUUCGCGACCUGGUGGUGAGGCAGGCCCAGCUGAGAGAGCGGAGAGCCGCGCUGGAAUCAUCCCGGGCUGACGCUCACAAGUCCGGGGCCCGGUGCACCCAGGACGCGAUCUUCCCAGAUGUCCUUCACUGCGACGCCGGGACACCACUGACCCUGGGUGCAUCCACAGCGGAGGACACGAGCCGGGUCCCGGGCGACGACUUCUCCCCCUCCUGCCUUCGACAUCUCCAUACGGAACCGCUUCGCUCCCCUCCGCGAGACAGGACGCGACGCUGUGAUCAUCGGAGACUCCAUCGUCCGACACGUAAGUGCUACGUUAGCCGAAGGUAAAGUGCACACUCAUUGUUUGCCUGGUGCUCGUGUUCUCGAUGUUUCUGCGCAGAUACCCGCGAUCCUGAAGGUCGACGAGAGCCCCAGAGCAGUCGUGCUUCACGCCGGGGUUAACGACACCACGCUGCGGCAGACGGAGACGCUGAAGAGGGACUUCAGCAGCCUGAUCGAGACGGUUCGCAGCACGACGCCCGCGGCGACGAUCGUCGUGUCUGGACCACUGCCCACGUAUCGACGAGGACACGAAAGGUUCAGUAGACUUUUUGCUUUAAAUGAAUGGUUGUUGUCAUGGUGUAAAGAACAGAAACUGCUAUUUGUUAAUAACUGGAAUCUUUUCUGGGAGCGUCCUAGGCUGUUUCGCGCUGAUGGAUUACACCCCAGCAGAAUCGGAGCGGAGCUGCUCUCUGACAACAUCUCCAGGACACUUCGCUCCAUGUGACUAUUUUCUUUUCUCUGUGCCUGAUUGUUGAUGUCCUUUACCCGGGCAUAGAUGUCCAUCCAUCAAUUACGAACAUUGAGCCGCAAACAUGAGGUGCGAGCGGUCGCGAGCGCGGAUGGGAGAAUGGAGCAUGUUUUUUUUGUUUGUUUUUUUGAGCAACUGGGAUGGUGCCCCCUCUGGGAGUUGGUGCCCUACGAAGACUGCGUACUCUGCAUAUAGGGAGUGGUGGUACUAUCUGGAAGAUAUAUUCCUCAAACCAUCGUACAAGAGGAGGUGAUGCUAGUCCUUCAAGAACCACUCAAAACCUAUCUGUUCAUAAAGCCUAUAUAUAAGGUCUUAAUAAAUAAUAUUCCACAAUACGUCAUGCUAUUCUAAUUAAGUCAUUUUAUGGGAUCUUUUACGUCUCUCAGAACCUGACACAUUGUAAUUCUGAGACUCCAGGAAAGUUGCAGUUCUGGAAAAUGGUGGCACUGUAGACUAAAUGCUCCCUGACAGUGUCACACCUAA